RNAcentral lists this long non-coding RNA (325 nucleotides) under Lathyrus oleraceus (garden pea). Its description in RNAcentral is "Pisum sativum (pea) long non-coding RNA (PSAT_LNC041386)". Lineage: Eukaryota; Viridiplantae; Streptophyta; Magnoliopsida; Fabales; Fabaceae. The record is from RNAcentral.
GUACCGUUGGUGACUCGGUUCUGUUGGCGACUUGAUUCUGAUGGUGACUUUGUGUUCAGACAGUGUUCAGUUAACCUUAAGUGGGAUUUAUGUUCCGAUUUUGACUGAAGCUUCGACCUAGUAUCAGAGUUUGCACAACCAGCCAGUCCAGUCUGCACCAUGUGCAUCAUAGCAUAUUUAUUUUUCAAAAGAAACGCAUUAAAAAAAAAUCAAAAAAAAAUCAUCAAAAAAAAAAAGAGAAAAAGAAAAAACUAAUCUCUGCAUGCAUAUCAUUUCUCAGGUACAUUCCAGAGUCUGUCUACUGAUAGAGAUGACAACGGUCCCC